Molecule: ribosomal RNA, 520 nt
Filed under: uncultured Glomus
Lineage: Eukaryota; Fungi; Glomeromycota; Glomeromycetes; Glomerales; Glomeraceae
Description: SSU rRNA
Rfam family: Eukaryotic small subunit ribosomal RNA
Source: RNAcentral
AGCAGCCGCGGUAAUUCCAGCUCCAAUAGCGUAUAUUAAAGUUGUUGCAGUUAAAAAGCUCGUAGUUGAAUUUCGGGAUCAAUAUAUCGGUCGUGCCUUGGUACGUACUGGUAUCAUUGGUUUCUCCUUUCUGACGAACCAUGAUGUCAUUAAUUUGGUGUUAUGGGAAGUUAGGACUGUUACUUUGAAAAAAUUAGAGUGUUUAAAGCAGGCUUUAGCUUGAAUAUAUUAGCAUGGAAUAAUGAAAUAGGACGUUCGAACCUAUUUUGUUGGUUUCUAGGAUCAACGUAAUGAUUAAUAGGGAUAGUUGGGGGCAUUAGUAUUCAAUUGUCAGAGGUGAAAUUCUUGGAUUUAUUGAAGACUAACUACUGCGAAAGCAUUUGCCAAGGAUGUUUUCAUUAAUCAAGAACGAAAGUUAGGGGAUCGAAGACGAUCAGAUACCGUCGUAGUCUUAACCAUAAACUAUAGCCGACUAGGGAUCGGAUGAUGCUAAUUUUUAAUGACUCAUUCGGCGCCUUAA